Molecule: non-coding RNA, 103 nt
Organism: Roseovarius marisflavi
Lineage: Bacteria; Pseudomonadati; Pseudomonadota; Alphaproteobacteria; Rhodobacterales; Roseobacteraceae
Source: Rfam
ACAAAUCCGUUGGGGUGCCUGCUUGUCAGGCUGAGAGGCGACCCGCCAACCCAUCGAACCUGAUCCGGUUUAUACCGGCGUAGGGAACGGAAAUGCCAUGGCC